RNAcentral lists this ribosomal RNA (379 nucleotides) under uncultured bacterium. RNAcentral describes it as "bacterial SSU rRNA". It matches the Rfam family "Bacterial small subunit ribosomal RNA", at positions 790 to 1167 of the family's 1533-position model. The record is from RNAcentral.
GUAGUCCACGCCAUAAACGAUGACAACUAGAUGUCGGGAGGGUUAGCCUCUUGGUGUCGCAGCUAACGCGUUAAGUUGUCCGCCUGGGGAGUACGGCCGCAAGGUUGAAACUCAAAUGAAUUGACGGGGACCCGCACAAGCGGUGGAGCAUGUGGUUCAAUUCGAUGCAACGCGAAGAACCUUACCUGGCCUUGACAUGUCCGGAAGAUCCCAGAGAUGGGGUUGUGCCCGAAAGGGAACCGGAACACAGGUGCUGCAUGGCUGUCGUCAGCUCGUGUCGUGAGAUGUUGGGUUAAGUCCCGCAACGAGCGCAACCCUUGUCUUUAGUUGCCAGCACUUCGGGUGGGCACUCUAAAGAGACCGCCGGUGACAAACCGGA